RNAcentral lists this ribosomal RNA (484 nucleotides) under uncultured bacterium. Its description in RNAcentral is "partial 16S ribosomal RNA". It matches the Rfam family "Bacterial small subunit ribosomal RNA", at positions 30 to 507 of the family's 1533-position model. The record is from RNAcentral.
AUUGAACGCUGGCGGCAGGCCUAACACAUGCAAGUCGAGCGGAUGAAGGGAGCUUGCUCCUGGAUUCAGCGGCGGACGGGUGAGUAAUGCCUAGGAAUCUGCCUGGUAGUGGGGGAUAACGUCCGGAAACGGGCGCUAAUACCGCAUACGUCCUGAGGGAGAAAGUGGGGGAUCUUCGGACCUCACGCUAUCAGAUGAGCCUAGAUCGGAUUAGCUAGUUGGUGGGGUAAGGGCCUACCAAGGCGACGAUCCGUAACUGGUCUGAGAGGAUGAUCAGUCACACUGGAACUGAGACACGGUCCAGACUCCUACGGGAGGCAGCAGUGGGGAAUAUUGGACAAUGGGCGAAAGCCUGAUCCAGCCAUGCCGCGUGUGUGAAGAAGGUCUUCGGAUUGUAAAGCACUUUAAGUUGGGAGGAAGGGCAGUAAGUUAAUACCUUGCUGUUUUGACGUUACCAACAGAAUAAGCACCGGCUAACUUCGUG